GAUGAACGCUGGCGGCGUGCCUACAUGCAAGUCGAGCGAACAGACGAGGAGCUUGCUCCUCUGACGUUAGCGGCGGACGGGUGAGUAACACGUGGAUAACCUACCUAUAAGACUGGGAUAACUUCGGGAAACCGGAGCUAGUACCGGAUAAUAUAUUGAACCGCAUGGUUCAAUAGUGAAAGACGGUUUUGCUGUCACUUAUAGAUGGAUCCGCGCCGCAUUAGCUAGUUGGUAAGGUAACGGCUUACCAAGGCAACGAUGCGUAGCCGACCUGAGAGGGUGAUCGGCCACACUGGAACUGAGACACGGUCCAGACUCCUACGGGAGGCAGCAGUAGGGAAUCUUCCGCAAUGGGCGAAAGCCUGACGGAGCAACGCCGCGUGAGUGAUGAAGGUCUUCGGAUCGUAAAACUCUGUUAUUAGGGAAGAACAAAUGUGUAAGUAACUAUGCACGUCUUGACGGUACCUAAUCAGAAAGCCACGGCUAACUACGUG
RNAcentral lists this ribosomal RNA (494 nucleotides) under uncultured bacterium. RNAcentral describes it as "partial 16S ribosomal RNA". It matches the Rfam family "Bacterial small subunit ribosomal RNA", at positions 28 to 507 of the family's 1533-position model. The record is from RNAcentral.